Molecule: unclassified non-coding RNA, 24 nt
Filed under: Mus musculus (house mouse)
Lineage: Eukaryota; Metazoa; Chordata; Mammalia; Rodentia; Muridae
Description: oocyte_clustered_small_RNA2077
Source: RNAcentral
UACAAGAAUAGCAAAGCAUUGGAG